Sorex fumeus (smoky shrew) is the source of this 110-nucleotide small nuclear RNA. NCBI's taxonomy places the organism in Eukaryota, Metazoa, Chordata, Mammalia, Eulipotyphla, Soricidae. The record is from RefSeq and is a predicted model, not a curated record.
GUGUUAAGAUUUUGGCAGCACAAGAACUAUAAUUGGAAUGAUAUAGAGAAGAUUAAACAUGGCCCCUUUGCAAGGAUGGCAUGCAGAUUCGAGAAUUGUUCAUUACUCAG